UUGGUCAUUCUAUUCAGAUGUCAGAAGGACCCAUGGGAAGACUCAGAGAGAAAGGUCUGUAGGAAGAGGCUAAGGAGCCCAAUCUUCUCCCAGAAAAUGGACGCUUCGGGUGGUCAUGAAUUGUAGGGCUAUUGGUACUGGGGUGAGUAAAGAGGAAGAGAAAGAGAGCAAGGCCCCAAGGAGAAGGGGAAACAGGGAGGGAGGAAGGGGCCAUGCCCUGUCCUCCCCUCCUCCAGUGUCCCUGCCCCUCUCCAACUUCAGAAUUCCCAUUGCUCCUUGAGAACUCAGACACUAGCUUCCCCACCAAGGCCUCCUCCCUCUGCAUUCCCCCAGCCUGUCCAUUCUCGGUCACACUGACUCCGAGUCUGGUCAGCUGCCUGUAUGCCUGUCUCACCCAGUUAACUUAAAUUCCUUGGGGUCAGGAACAAUGCUUUCUUCUUAUUUUCCAUGCCACAGCUCCAGUUACUGUGACUGACACACAGAAAUAUUGGCUUGGAGUCGAUUAUCUCAGGGAUGCAGCUCAAAAUGAUGAAUUAGAGCGGUUGUUAUCGAAUCUGCCACCAGAGGGCGAUCCAGGCUGAAGGUGACAUUACACUUAGAGGGAUCCACAGAUUCAAGAGGCUGCUUGGGGAGGGCAGCACAGUGAAGUACAAGGACUUUGACAUCAGAGAGGCCUGGAUUCAAGUCCCAAUUUCUGUGUGUGGUAACCAGUCUGCAAGACAGCCUGUGAUGAUCUCUCUCUCUGCGGAAGCCAGCCACCGCUCUCCAAGGACUCUCGAGCAGCUCCAUCUACAGAUUCACAUGGAGAAGAAUUAAGGGUUCCUGCCAAUCACCAGCACCACUUUGCCAGCCUUGUAAGUGGGCCACCUUGGAAUUGGAGCCUCCAGUUCCUACUGACAUCUGACUGCAACAUCAUGAGAGACCCUGAGUUUGAACCACCCAGCUGAGCUGCUUCUGAGCUAACCCACUGAAACCGUGAAAGUACCUGAAUGAAACAACACCCAGUAGCCACUAGCACACCUAGCUCCCAGAUCUGUUUUUGAUGCCAUUCUUCAGUAAAAGGAAGCAAGGCUGCUUGGAGAAAUUGCUAUCAAGGACUGGGGUAGAAAAUAUACAAGAUGAAAUUGGAGCAUCUUGUAGUGCUUGAAAACAGUUGGCAUCUGUGUGAAGAUGUGAAUGGAGGAGGCAGAGUAGGCAGUGAGUGCCGCAGCCACAGCUUGUGUUCUCUGCAGCCCUGGCACAGAAGAUAGGAACACUCAUGGGGGAUGCGGCCACUGUGAUGUCUUCCCACACAAGAAGUGCCAAGUGCUUUUCUCAUGCUUUUCUGGAUUGUCCCAUGGUGGACGAGUCAGCAGGAGUGAGAUGGAGCAGCACAGUAGAGGGGCCAGGAUAUCGUUGUACAUAUUCUCAGCUAAGUGAGCACCAAUAGAGGAGAGGGAGAGUCUCAUGGAAGUUCCUUCUAAGCCUUUGGCUCUUUUUACCUUCAACAAGGUGUGCCACCUCUUUGAUCCAGCAAGUGGGAAGAACAGUCCCGGCCUCUUUGCACACAAGACCGUGAUACCAAUGCACCAUCACAGGCCCCACAGGGGAGCUGUCCGCUUCCCCACACAGCUGCUAGGGGCUCUUUUGCAUGUUCCCAACCUUUCCUGCCUUUAUCUGAUAUUCGUUCCUUAGAUCCUGGGAUGAGGAGGUGGACCAGCAGAAGGUGGGCUUGUGAAGGCAGCCCGGGGUCCAAAUCCUCCUGGCUCUUCAGCUUAGCGGGUUAGUUAACAUUCAGAAGCCUUCAUCUCCCAUCUGCAAAAUGGGCAUGUCCAACUCAGAAGCUGCCUUGAAGAAAGGGUCUACCCAGCAUGGUGCGUGGAGCCUAAGCAGUCAGUACUUCAGGACUUCACCCGGCCCCUUUCCAAUAACUGCUGCUGUCGCCCUCACAGGAUGUCACCUUCAGCGUCUGAAAGCUGGGUUUGAUGCGUCUGGAAAGGCGUCCCUGACAGGCGUCGUUGCCAGGAGCCCCUAGUGCCACCAGCAGCCAGCAGGGGAGGGCGUCCUCUGCCCGCUCACUUCUGACCCUUCUCUCGUUGCACCCGGAACAUGGUGCAGCUGGGAGCAGCCUGGGCUGCGCGGAAGGCUCAGAUUUGGGGACGGCCCUUGCCAGUGACUGUGAGCUGGGGUGUCUUGGAAACUCCCAGUCUCAGCUUCUCCAUUUAUAAGAUGAGAAUGAUCAUACCAGACUCAGGCAAGGUUGUUUGUGCAUUAGUGAAAUCAGACGUAUUAAAUAAAGUACCACAUUGAUCGUGGAGUUGUUGAAUAACCAAGAACACGCCUA
Molecule: long non-coding RNA, 2323 nt
Filed under: Homo sapiens (human)
Lineage: Eukaryota; Metazoa; Chordata; Mammalia; Primates; Hominidae
Description: HSALNT0399375
Source: RNAcentral